RNAcentral lists this small nucleolar RNA (104 nucleotides) under Zalophus californianus (California sea lion). RNAcentral describes it as "Small nucleolar RNA U13 (ENSZCAG00015016887.1)". It matches the Rfam family "Small nucleolar RNA U13". Lineage: Eukaryota; Metazoa; Chordata; Mammalia; Carnivora; Otariidae. RNAcentral also lists the same sequence under 1 other name. The record is from RNAcentral.
AUCCUUUUGUAGUUCAUAAGUGUGAUGAUUGGGUGUUCACGCUGUUGUGUGACAUGUGCCUACCUCAAACCUUGUUAACAACCUCAGCAAUUACCCAUCUGAUG